GGGCCCUUAGCUCAGCGGUAAGAGCACCCGGCUCAUAACCGGAGGCGCCCAGGUUCGAAUCCUGGAGGGCCCA
This 73-nucleotide transfer RNA is filed under the name Deltaproteobacteria bacterium. RNAcentral's name for it is "tRNA-Met". It matches the Rfam family "tRNA". From Rfam's summary of the family: Transfer RNA (tRNA) molecules are approximately 80 nucleotides in length. The record is from RNAcentral. Lineage: Bacteria; Pseudomonadati; Myxococcota; Myxococcia.